UUUUUUGUGUUCAUCAAACUUAAGCCUAAAUAGGUAACCGACUCGAGUGGAAUCUAUUAAUACGAGGAGAGGAAAGUAAUGUCUGGCCUCCUUCGAUAAUUAUUACCUCAUCACAUUUCCGUCAUUGGUCGUUAUAGCGUGUCUGUUUCCGUUAUUUCAUAUACCUAGUAAAACAUAAUUCAUUUGGUCAUGUAUAAUAUAUAUACAAUGUGUUUAUAAUUAGUUU
Cinara cedri is the source of this 226-nucleotide non-coding RNA. The record is from the annotation of a GenBank genome assembly. Lineage: Eukaryota; Metazoa; Arthropoda; Insecta; Hemiptera; Aphididae.